RNAcentral lists this ribosomal RNA (327 nucleotides) under uncultured eukaryote. RNAcentral's name for it is "partial 18S ribosomal RNA". It matches the Rfam family "Eukaryotic small subunit ribosomal RNA", at positions 1470 to 1796 of the family's 1831-position model. The record is from RNAcentral.
CCCUUAGAUGUUCUGGGCCGCACGCGCGCUACACUGACGAAUGCAACGAGCUUAUAACCUUGGCCGAAAGGUCUGGGUAAUCUCCAAAUUUCGUCGUGAUGGGGAUAGAUUAUUGCAAUGAUUAAUCUUCAACGAGGAAUGCCUAGUAAGCGCAAGUCAUCAGCUUGCGUUGAUUACGUCCCUGCCCUUUGUACACACCGCCCGUCGCUCCUACCGAUUGAAUGGUCCGGUGAAGCGUUCGGACCGUGGCCUUUGGACGGUUCGCCGUCUGUUGGCUGCGGGAAGUUCGUUAAACCUUAUCAUUUAGAGGAAGGAGAAGUCGUAACA